UGAGGAAUAUUGCGCAAUGGGGGAAACCCUGACGCAGCGAUGCCGCGUGGGUGAAGAAGGCCUUCGGGUCGUAAAGCCCUGUCAGGCGGGAAGAAUAGCCUGGGGACGAAUAAUCCUCAGGUAUGACGGUACCGCUGAAGGAAGCACCGGCUAACUCCGUGCCAGCAGCCGCGGUAAGACGGAGGGUGCUAGCGUUAUUCGGAAUUAUUGGGCGUAAAGGGUGUGUAGGCGGUCGGUCAAGUCAGAUGUGAAAGCCCGGGGCUCAACCUCGGAAGUGCAUUUGAAACUGGUCGACUUGAGUUCGGGAGAGGGAAGCGGAAUUCCGGGUGUAGAGGUGAAAUUCGUAGAUAUCCGGAGGAACACCGGUGGCGAAGGCGGCUUCCUGGACCGAAACUGACGCUGAGACACGAAAGCGUGGGGAGCAAACAGG
RNAcentral lists this ribosomal RNA (430 nucleotides) under uncultured Desulfobacca sp. Its description in RNAcentral is "bacterial SSU rRNA". It matches the Rfam family "Bacterial small subunit ribosomal RNA", at positions 355 to 776 of the family's 1533-position model. The record is from RNAcentral. Lineage: Bacteria; Pseudomonadati; Thermodesulfobacteriota; Desulfobaccia; Desulfobaccales; Desulfobaccaceae.